UGGGGAAUAUUGCGCGAUGGGGGGAACCCUGACGCAGCCAUGCCGCGUGAAUGAAGAAGGCCUUCGGGUUGUAAAGUUCUUUCGGUAUUGAGGAAGGUUGAUGUGUUAAUAGCACAUCAAAUUGACGUUAAAUACAGAAGAAGCACCGGCUAACUCCGUGCCAGCAGCCGCGGUAAUACGGAGGGUGCGAGCGUUAAUCGGAAUAACUGGGCGUAAAGGGCACGCAGGCGGUUAUUUAAGUGAGGUGUGAAAGCCCUGGGCUUAACCUAGGAAUUGCAUUUCAGACUGGGUAACUAGAGUACUUUAGGGAGGGGUAGAAUUCCACGUGUAGCGGUGAAAUGCGUAGAGAUGUGGAGGAAUACCGAAGGCGAAGGCAGCCCCUUGGGAAUGUACUGACGCUCAUGUGCGAAAGCGUGGGGAGCAAACAGGAUUAGAUACCCUGGUAGUCCACGCUGUAAACGCUGUCGAUUUGGGGGUUGGGGUUUAACUCUGGCGCCCGUAGCUAACGUGAUAAAUCGACCGCCUGGGGAGUACGGCCGCAAGGUUA
RNAcentral lists this ribosomal RNA (547 nucleotides) under uncultured bacterium. RNAcentral's name for it is "bacterial SSU rRNA". It matches the Rfam family "Bacterial small subunit ribosomal RNA", at positions 355 to 896 of the family's 1533-position model. The record is from RNAcentral.